GACGAACGCUGGCGGCGUGCUUAACACAUGCAAGUCGAACGGAAAGGCCCUGCUUUUGUGGGGUGCUCGAGUGGCGAACGGGUGAGUAACACGUGAGUAACCUGCCCUUGACUUUGGGAUAACUUCAGGAAACUGGGGCUAAUACCGGAUAGGAGCUCCUGCUGCAUGGUGGGGGUUGGAAAGUUUCGGCGGUUGGGGAUGGACUCGGGGUUUAUCAGCUUGUUGGUGGGGUAGUGGCUUACCAAGGCUUUGACGGGUAGCCGGCCUGAGAGGGUGACCGGCCACAUUGGGACUGAGAUACGGCCCAGACUCCUACGGGAGGCAGCAGUGGGGAAUAUUGCACAAUGGGCGGAAGCCUGAUGCAGCAACGCCGCGUGCGGGAUGACGGCCUUCGGGUUGUAAACCGCUUUCGCCUGUGACGAAGCGUGAGUGACGGUAAUGGGUAAAGAAGCACCGGCUAACUACGU
Molecule: ribosomal RNA, 467 nt
Filed under: uncultured bacterium
Lineage: Bacteria
Description: partial 16S ribosomal RNA
Rfam family: Bacterial small subunit ribosomal RNA
Source: RNAcentral